GAUGAACGCUGGCGGCGUGCCUAAUACAUGCAAGUCGAGCGAACGGACGAGAAGCUUGCUUUUCUGAUGUUAGCGGCGGACGGGUGAGUAACACGUGGAUAACCUACCUAUAAGACUGGGAUAACUUCGGGAAACCGGAGCUAAUACCGGAUAAUAUUUUGAACCGCAUGGUUCAAAAGUGAAAGACGGUCUUGCUGUCACUUGUAGAUGGAUCCGCGCUGCAUUAGCUAGUUGGUAAGGUAACGGCUUACCAAGGCAACGAUGCAUAGCCGACCUGAGAGGGUGAUCGGCCACACUGGAACUGAGACACGGUCCAGACUCCUACGGGAGGCAGCAGUAGGGAAUCUUCCGCAAAGGGCGAAAGCCUGACGGAGCAACGCCGCGUGAGUGAUGAAGGUCUUCGGAUCGUAAAACUCUGUUAUUAGGGAAGAACAUAUGUGUAAGUAACUGUGCACAUCUUGACGGUACCUAAUCAGAAAGCCACGGCUAACUACGUG
Molecule: ribosomal RNA, 497 nt
Filed under: uncultured bacterium
Lineage: Bacteria
Description: partial 16S ribosomal RNA
Rfam family: Bacterial small subunit ribosomal RNA
Source: RNAcentral